RNAcentral lists this ribosomal RNA (266 nucleotides) under uncultured prokaryote. Its description in RNAcentral is "partial 16S ribosomal RNA". It matches the Rfam family "Bacterial small subunit ribosomal RNA", at positions 524 to 788 of the family's 1533-position model. The record is from RNAcentral.
UACGUAGGUGGCAAGCGUUAUCCGGAAUUAUUGGGCGUAAAGAGCGCGCAGGUGGUUGAUUAAGUCUGAUGUGAAAGCCCACGGCUUAACCGUGGAGGGUCAUUGGAAACUGGUCGACUUGAGUGCAGAAGAGGGAAGUGGAACUCCAUGUGUAGCGGUGAAAUGCGUAGAGAUAUGGAGGAACACCAGUGGCGAAGGCGGCUUACUGGACGAUAACUGACGUUGAGGCUCGAAAGCGUGGGGAGGCAAACAGGAUUAGAUACCCU